GCCACAAACUAGAGAUUUUGUA
This 22-nucleotide non-coding RNA is filed under the name Arabidopsis thaliana (thale cress). The record is from RNAcentral. Lineage: Eukaryota; Viridiplantae; Streptophyta; Magnoliopsida; Brassicales; Brassicaceae.